This 1726-nucleotide long non-coding RNA is filed under the name Mus musculus (house mouse). RNAcentral's name for it is "predicted gene 20468". Lineage: Eukaryota; Metazoa; Chordata; Mammalia; Rodentia; Muridae. The record is from RNAcentral.
CUCUCUCUCUCUCUCAUGUUAGACCAUUUCAGAAGGCAGUGUGCUCGCUGAUGAAAAGGCCAUGGUCAUUCUCUUAGGAAAUCUGCUGGGUCUGGCUCUGACAGUCCUCAGCUGCUCCAUAAAUCUUCCAUCAGUUCCAUCCAGCCAAAAAGAUGUCAUCACCGUUUUCUCCUAGCAACAAGGAAUAAAAGGGCCAUCUCCAACAAGACUGUCAGAAAAAUGAGGAGCAGAGCCCAAGAUGAUUGGAACAUCCUUUGUGACCCGAGAACCCUGCUACUGUUCCCAGAGCUCUGCCCCUUGACCCUACUGAGGCUCCAACAGACUGGCACCAGAUAUCAUCACUUUGCCGCCGCCGCCGUCAUCAUUAUCAGUAACAAAUGAUAGAAUGCAUUUAAAUGGCAAAACAGUUACCUCAAUAUCACAGCAAGCAGAAAAAAGAAAUAACUUCCUGGGAGUCCUUCCAGAAUUUUCUUCAGUCAUGGACCUGGGGACAUAUAUUUAAAAUACGCCUGUUGGACCGCACUGGGAGCACCUCAUGUCUUCGGUUUUUCUCCCGCGACGUUUGCGGGACCCUGUCCCAGCACAGUUGCCUGGGAAGAGCAUGCCACAUCGGUUUUCCCGAUUUUCUUCCGCAUUCGCCGACACGUGAGUUCCACGCUGAGCACGUGGGUCCUAAGCAGCACUGCUAGAGAACCAGUUGCUGGCCCUGCGGUCUAGCUGCGGCGCUGGGGCUGCGGACUGCUGCCCUCUCGUGGCCAGUCAGGGGAACGCCUCGAGAGUCCCAGCCCUCCAGGAUCUCACCCAUUCCCUCCCGCGGCAGCUCAACAGCCUGCUCUUGGUGCCCGAAAAGGACAGAAUCUUCGUUCUUCAUCUCUCAUGCUCACCCAGGGGCCAAAUCUUGCCUCAGUGAGGCAGCUGUGAAAAUUAGUUGGAGCAAGGAUGCUUGUCAGAUAUUUCGCUUCAGUGAUGCACAAGUGAUGACUCCAUCCUCCAUCUGCAGGGCCCAGCAACUUCAACAGAGAGUAUUUGGAAACAAAGUGAGGAGUGCUUGCAGUCUUUCCAGCCUUUCCUCCUGACACUCCCUCAACCCAGCCUGGCGGCUGUCUGCAGGGCAUCGUAAUAUCUGAGAUAAGCGAGUCAUCUAGAAGCGGUGUAAAGUGCACAGGAAGUCCUGCUCACACCUAUGCCUAUGUCCGUUUUCUAGAAGGAAUGUGAGCAUCCCACGGUUUGGUAGCCUCAGUUUCCCUGGAAUCCAUCACAUGUAUACUGAGAAAUAACCAUGUGUGAAUCCAGUCAGGGUGGCCCCCAAACACAUGUACUGAGCAUUUCUGUUUCCAGGGAUCCCCACUGCCAUACUGAACAUGGAUGGGUCACACUCAGGAAAGGCCAGCGCUGUGCUGUUAGGCUGCUGCCAUGCUGGACCCGAGGCUCUUUCAAGAGAGGCCCUUGGCACUAUCCACAGUAGCCACACUAUGGAAGCAACCUGUGUAACUAACCAUCGAUGGGCAGGUGAAGAGUGUGGACUGUAGAUACAUAGUAGAAUUUAUUCAUCCAUGAAGAAGAAGAAAAUUAUAUCAUUGCAGGAAAAUGGGUAGUAAAACAGAAGAGCAAGAUGAAAUGUUUUACCACAAAUGUGGAAACGAGAGGUUGAAGAAAAAGAUGACCUGGAUAUAGAGGAGAGGAGAGACUUUUAGGGAGCGGCAGAGCCUGGACCAGGGAGCAAAUG